Pieris brassicae (large cabbage white) is the source of this 1548-nucleotide long non-coding RNA. RefSeq lists it as uncharacterized. The record is from RefSeq and is a predicted model, not a curated record. Lineage: Eukaryota; Metazoa; Arthropoda; Insecta; Lepidoptera; Pieridae. The transcript is spliced from 6 exons.
CCUGCUUGUUGCGUAACCAUUUGCUGUAGUUCAUUUCGUAUUUUAUCCUGUUUUCUGUAUUGUGAGAUACUCAAGAGCACCUCGAGUCGAGCUUUUAGUUUCUCUGGCAUACUAUCGGAAUUCUGCACUCGGUUGUAUAGUGUAAAUUGGUGUUUUAAGACUUCGAAAGGACGCUAUUUCGUGGUAUUUUUGUGAUUUUGGUCACAAUGCCUAAACGAUGUGUGUUUGGUUGUUCACCUAGUGGAAACAGUCUUAGUAGCAUACUUUACGAAAUAUGAUUGCAUGCAGACAUAGAUGCCAGCCUUCAUUCAUUUCCAAACCCUAAAAGAUUCCGCCAGCAAUUGAAUUCUUGGGUUAAUCUUACUGGUGAUUUUGGAUUUACUAAUGAAGAGAUUUAAAAAAAAGAAAAAAGUUUCUGAUGUUGAUUUCAGCGACUGAGAUUGUAAUCGUAAUAACCAAUUCAAUGCUUUAGCCACUCCAUCUCUUCAUUUGAAUGGCUUUUAUGGAAAACUUCCUUACCCUAGUGAAAUGGUCAGUCAGGAAAUGGAACUGAACACCCAAUUAGACGCCGUUGCCGGUGGCUCAGCAUCUACUUCUGCUGUAACCACUCAACAGAAUGUUAAGCACAACAUGAAAAGAUCAUCAAAAAGGCAGUCAGAAUGUGCUGCUAUAAUGCUGGACCAUGGUUAUUGCAAGAAAAGAUCUUCAAAAGCUUCGGAAAGAACAGCGCCGUCCAAAUUGACAGUCAAUAGGUAUAGCAACCAUAGACCAAAGCACCAAAAACAAAUUUAUAACUUGAGAAGAGAAAUCUACACAGUGCGAAAAAGUGGUCAUUCAUUUAAGGCGCGGCUUGCAAAAGCCGAAAAACUGGAUGCCAACACUACUUUUCAAAAAGUAGUUAAAGGUAUGACGGUAAGGUAUUGUACUUGUCUUUGUAUAAGAGGAGUCCCAUGUGUUAUGCCUUGAUGGCAAAAUAUUUUACAUUGCCAUCAGCAAAAUGUUUGAAAAGAUUAAUUUCUGAAAUAAAACUAAAGCCGGGCAUCAAUAAAGUCAUUUAUGAAUAAUUGAAAACAGUAGUGCAUGAUUUGCCUCGCGAAGAUAAACUGUGCACUGUUUCAUAGUGAAGGGCAUUAAAAAAGGUACAAACAAUCUGUCGCUUAUUAUUUCACUAGUAACCUGAACAAAGAUGAAUUGAAAGUAAUAAUACAGGAAGUUAUCAAAAAUGUGCAAGCAAUUGGCUUGACCGUUUUAUGUACUGUGUGUGACCAAAGCACAGUAAAUGUGAGUGUCAUUAAUGAGUUUGUGGCCGAUAACAAAGGAAAUUAUCUCAUUUAUGAUGUUCCACAUUUAUUAAAAGGGCUGAGGAAUAACCUUCUUACCAAAGAUUUGGUUUAUAUUGACCUUGAAGACCAAAAACAGAAAUUCAUUAAAUGGGAAUACAUUGAACUACUGUAUGCUGCCGAUAAAGCAUUUGGAGAACUCCGAUUCCUGCAGAAAUUAACAGAGGAACAUAUUAGUUAAUAUAGCAAAUAUAAAAAAAAAUCGCGU